AAUAUAUCAAGCUUCAUUAGAAGAAAUAAAAUAAGUUAAUUGAUAAAUCUAGAGAAAAUUGUACAGUCCCUGAGUCCUUGUGGUGAAAUUGAUGACUUACGGAGAAGGAUUCUGCUGAACAUGUACUUCUUGCUUCCACAAGAGUGAGAAGCCCAGACCAUGAAGUGCCUGGUUCUGAGAAUCAUGAGAAAAAGACAAAACUCUUCCUGGCAGCUGUCUACGAAUCCAGGAAAUCCUUGGACAGAAAGAAAAUUAGAUCCUCUGCUUUCUGGAAUGUGAGGAGCUUUAUACAAGGGGAAUUGUUCAUACCCAUUGCUGCAGACCUGGUCUCAAAACUGCUGCUGGAAUUACCGAGAUGGAAGCGAAUUCCUCUGAAUGAGGUUUUGAAGCUGGUUAGAAGAUAGGUUUGGGGGACAUCUUGCGGGGGAGCAUUAUUCUGCCUACCAAAGCACUCAAUCUGGAUUUGGGGAUCAGAAAAAGCUUCCUGGAGGAAUUGAUGCCUAAGAAGAGAUUUAAAGGAUGAAGAGGAGUACCUACUUCUGGAGAGAAGAAGUAUUUAUCAGAAGAGUGGAGCAACAGUGAGUGGACCAAUUUGUUCAAGAAAGAACUUACUGUUCAGCCACAAACUGGGCCUGGAGAUGGUACACAUCACAUCCAUCCAUCUUCUGUUGGCCAGAAUUUAGUCAUACGAUCAUACCUCACUGCAAGGAGCUUGGGAAAAGCAGUCCAGCUGCAUUCCCAGGAGGAAGAGGAAAGAGGUUUGGCGGAUACCUAGGCAGUCUAUGCCACAGAGGGAUGAGGUCAACCCAGCCAUCAGCAAACUAGAAUCAGUGCCUGAUUCCAUAUUCAAUUCAUUGAAAUUAAGACACUGAAGAUUCCUGUUACAAGCAAUGCAAGCAAACGCAAAACAUAAGGGAAUGGCAAUUUGAUGUCUGGACACAGGAAAUGAUCCCUCAGUCUUUCUGGGCUUCACAAAGGAGGAUCAAAUCAGCAAUUUUCCAGCACUCUCUGAGGAUAUGGAAUGGAUGGCUCAGCACAACUCUUCCUCUUACUAGGGCCACCUCCUCACAUGCCUUAAUCUGCAUGACAGAAUGCAGGGAUGUGCUGCAGGUUUCAACUUCUUCUUUGUGUUCCCUCUUCAAGUGUAAAAUAGCAG
Molecule: long non-coding RNA, 1156 nt
Filed under: Equus asinus (donkey)
Lineage: Eukaryota; Metazoa; Chordata; Mammalia; Perissodactyla; Equidae
Description: lncRNA (ENSEASG00005024950.1)
Source: RNAcentral